ACUGCUCAGUAACACGUGGAUAACCUGCCCUUGGGACCGGCACAACUCCGGGAAACUGGAGAUAAUUCCGGAUAACGCACAUAUGCUGGAAUGCUUUAUGCGUAAAAUGGAUUCGUCUGCCCAAGGAUGGGUCUGCGGCCUAUCAGGUAGUAGUGGGUGUAAUGUACCUACUAGCCGACGACGGGUACGGGUUGUGAGAGCAAGAGCCCGGAGAUGGAUUCUGAGACAUGAAUCCAGGCCCUACGGGGCGCAGCAGGCGCGAAAACUUUACAAUGCGGGAAACCGUGAUAAGGGGACACCGAGUGCCAGCAUCAUAUGCUGGCUGUCCAGGUGUGUAAAAUACACCUGUCAGCAAGGGCCGGGCAAGACCGGUGCCAGCCGCCGCGGUAACACCGGCGGCCCGAGUGGUGAUCGUGAUUAUUGGGUCUAAAGGGUCCGUAGCCGGUUUGGUCAGUCCUCCGGGAAAUCUGACGGCUCAACCGUUAGGCUUUCGGGGGAUACUGCCAGACUUGGAACCGGAAGAGGUAAGAGGUACUACAGGGGUAGGAGUGAAAUCUUGUAAUCCCUGUGAGACCACCUGUGGCGAAGGCGUCUUACCAGAACGGGUUCGACGGUGAGGGACGAAAGCUGGGGGCACGAACUGGAUUAGAUACCCGGGUAGUCCCAGCCGUAACGAUGCUCGCUAGGUGUCAGGCAUGGCGCGACCGUGUCUGGUGCCGCAGGGAAGCCGUGAAGCGAGCCACCUGGGAAGUACGGCCGCAAGGCUGAAACUUAAAGGAAUUGGCGGGGGAG
This 792-nucleotide ribosomal RNA is filed under the name uncultured archaeon. RNAcentral describes it as "bacterial SSU rRNA". It matches the Rfam family "Archaeal small subunit ribosomal RNA", at positions 85 to 876 of the family's 1478-position model. The record is from RNAcentral.